CUGGGGGGGCCGGGGGCGAGGGCAGAGGCUGCGGCCGACUUGCGGAGCGGGAGGUGAGCCAAAUCUGGACAUCCUGGGAUUUCAGCAGAGGAACCGAGGUUCAGAGGGAGGACUUGGUCAAGGAUCCGGUAUUCCAGUAAAGCCUGACCCGUGUCCCGACUCUGCCUCAGAACACAGAUGCCUUCUUGGCAUCUCCAUCUCUGUCCAGCCUGCUCAGUUUCAGUUUAAGUUUGUGAAUGUCCUCCCACCACCGAGACAUCCGUUGUCCAUGCUGCAUCGUCUGCAGGAACAUCAAGACAGUCGGCACAAAGUCUGCUGCCUUCACUUAUCUCCUCUGAGCAAAUCCACUCUGCAUUUGCUGGGUGUCAUCAGAAAGAGCAGCCCUGCGCAGGGGUGGAUAAGUAGGGCUUAUUCUAGAUGACCUGGCAACCUCAUGUGUGCCAAGGAUGACUAGAGAGCUGAAAGAGUGAGUAAUGCAAAGAGGUGAUGGUCACCUCCCUGGGGGAGGAACAGACUUUUUCUCUGGCAGCACCUCUCCAAGAAGACAGGAGGUUUCAGUGCUAAUCAAGAGCUUGCUGCCAGGAGGAGGGGCUGCAGGAGGAGGCUCAGGGCACUGGGAAAAGAACUGAUAGGACAGUCGACAGGCUGGUGGGACCCACAGGACUUCCUCACACUCCACCAGGGCCAAGUAAGCAUCUUUUAUGUUUGGUUUUGGGUAUUGGGAGUUCACUCACUUAAAAGUAAAAGUAAAGGGCAUCCAGGAAGCUUAUACAAAGAACAGGCCUUGUUAUGUUUGUUUGUUUGUUUUAAUUUUCCGGAGGAUAUGUAUGCCAACUAUAGCCACAAGCCGCGACAAGCUGAUAACCAAACGACGCCAAGAUGAGAACAUCUGGCCUGGGAGGGCUCCGUAAAGAGGCAUACAAACCAGAAAGCAUUCCCCAGUGGGCCAUGCUCACACUGCAGUCUCGCCACCUGAGCAGAGUUUCUCAUUCUAUAGAGCAUGGCUCACAGUGGCCCUCCUCGUGCUAAGUACCCACCACCACAGUCUUCGAAAUCAACACACUUGGACCAUAUUUACCUGACUGCUUUCACAGAUGUUCAUAAACAACUUGUCUGCUUUCAAAGACCUGCAUAAACUACCUGCCUCAACCACUCAGAUAAACUGCAUCUCCUCAAACCACGGGCUGCUGAUAACCCAACUGGCUACAAAGACAAGGCCUGGCAUAGGGCAAGGCACAGGAGCUGGCACUCAGACCGCCCCAGGCCGUUCUCUCUGGCCACCUACGUGUGCCAGCCGGAGCAGCUCCAGCACUCACUUCGCAGGGCUCACUAGGAUCUGGAGGCACUGGGACUCCGGCCAGCCUGUGUAGGACCGGCACUCUCCACUGCAGCAUGAGGGAGGCUUGGCCGAGAUCUGCCAUGAUGCCACAUUGCUGACACGAGCACUGGAUGGAGGGUUCAUGAAGAUGGCUCCCUCCCAUGGAUGACUCUGGGUGGGCUCUUGGUGUGGGGCAGCACUGGCCUCAAGCAGGCUCACAACUCCCUGUCCUUUUUCCUGCUAGGCUUGGUCGUGAGCUAGAGCACUUGUGAAUAAAGCCUUGGCAUUGCGGAAAGACA
Molecule: long non-coding RNA, 1617 nt
Organism: Tupaia belangeri chinensis (Chinese tree shrew)
Lineage: Eukaryota; Metazoa; Chordata; Mammalia; Scandentia; Tupaiidae
Exons: 5
Source: RefSeq, a predicted model, not a curated record